This 510-nucleotide ribosomal RNA is filed under the name uncultured bacterium. Its description in RNAcentral is "partial 16S ribosomal RNA". It matches the Rfam family "Bacterial small subunit ribosomal RNA", at positions 28 to 507 of the family's 1533-position model. The record is from RNAcentral.
GACGAACGCUGGCGGCGUGCUUAACACAUGCAAGUCGAACGAAGAGCGAUGGAAGCUUGCUUCUAUCAAUCUUAGUGGCGAACGGGUGAGUAACGCGUAAUCAACCUGCCCUUCAGAGGGGGACAACAGUUGGAAACGACUGCUAAUACCGCAUACGAUCUGACCUCGGCAUCGAGGAUAGAUGAAAGGUGGCCUCUACAUGUAAGCUAUCACUGAAGGAGGGGAUUGCGUUUGAUUAGCUAGUUGGAGGGGUAACGGCCCACCAAGGCGAUGAUCAGUAGCCGGUCUGAGAGGAUGAACGGCCACAUUGGGACUGAGACACGGCCCAGACUCCUACGGGAGGCAGCAGUGGGGAAUCUUCCGCAAUGGACGAAAGUCUGACGGAGCAACGCCGCGUGAGUGAUGACGGCCUUCGGGUUGUAAAGCUCUGUUAAUCGGGACGAAAGGCCUUUUUGCGAAUAGUGAGAAGGAUUGACGGUACCGGAAUAGAAAGCCACGGCUAACUACGUG